UUGGAGGGCAAGUCUGGUGCCAGCAGCCGCGGUAAUUCCAGCUCCAAUAGCGUAUAUUAAAGUUGUUGCAGUUAAAAAGCUCGUAGUUGAAUUUCGGGGUUAGUAGGUUGGUCAUGCCUCUGGUAUGUACUGGUCUCACUGAUUCCUCCUUCCUGAUGAACCGUAAUGCCAUUAAUUUGGUGUUGCGGGGAAUUUGGACUGUUACUUUGAAAAAAUUAGAGUGUUUAAAGCAAGCUAACGCUUGAAUACAUUAGCAUGGGAUAAUGAAAUAGGACGUUCGAUCCUAUUUUGUUGGUUUCUAGGAUUGACGUAAUGAUUAAUAGGGAUAGUUGGGGGCAUUAGUAUUCAAUUGUCAGAGGUGAAAUUCUUGGAUUUAUUGAAGACUAACUACUGCGAAAGCAUUUGCCAAGGAUGUUUUCAUUAAUCAAGAACGAAAGUUAGGGGAUCGAAGACGAUCAGAUACCGUCGUAGUCUUAACCAUAAACUAUGCCGACUAGGGAUCGGAUGAUGUUAAUUUUUUAAUGACUCAUUCGGCGCCUUACGGGAAAC
This 549-nucleotide ribosomal RNA is filed under the name Glomus sp. C/3-2. RNAcentral's name for it is "SSU rRNA". It matches the Rfam family "Eukaryotic small subunit ribosomal RNA", at positions 548 to 1098 of the family's 1831-position model. The record is from RNAcentral. Lineage: Eukaryota; Fungi; Glomeromycota; Glomeromycetes; Glomerales; Glomeraceae.